GAUGAACGCUGGCGGUGUGCCUAACACAUGCAAGUCGAGCGAACGGACGAGAAGCUCUCUUCUCUGAUGUUAGCGGCGGACGGGUGAGUAACGCGUGGAUCACCUACCUAUAAGACUGGGAUAAUUUCGGGAAACCGGAUCUAAUACCGGAUAAUAUUUUGCACCGCAUGGUUCAAAAGAGAAAGACGGUCUUGCUGUCAUAUAUAGCUGGAUCCGCGCUGCAUUAGCUAGUUGGUAAGGUAACGGCUUACCAAGGCAACGAUGCGUAGCCGACCUGAGAGGGUGAUCGGCCACACUGGAACUGAGACACGGUCCAGACUCCUACGGGAGGCAGCAGUAGGGAAUCUUCCGCAAUGGGCGAAAGCCUGACGGAGCAACGCCGCGUGAGUGAUGAAGGUCUUCGGAUCGUAAAACUCUGUUAUUAGGGAAGAACAUAUGUGUAAGUAACUGUGCACGUCUUGACGGUACCUAAUCAGAAAGCCACGGCUAACUACGUG
Molecule: ribosomal RNA, 497 nt
Filed under: uncultured bacterium
Lineage: Bacteria
Description: partial 16S ribosomal RNA
Rfam family: Bacterial small subunit ribosomal RNA
Source: RNAcentral